This 231-nucleotide long non-coding RNA is filed under the name Homo sapiens (human). RNAcentral's name for it is "HSALNT0302118". Lineage: Eukaryota; Metazoa; Chordata; Mammalia; Primates; Hominidae. The record is from RNAcentral.
GAUUCUCCUGCCCCAGCCUCCUGAGUAGCUGGGAUUACAGGGACGGUGGUGUCUGCUGUUCCGGGAUUGAGAGAGAUGAAGCACUUACUCACCUCAGUGACUGGUGUGCGCAGCCACUCCCUAGCCGGCUUCUUCCAUGGCAGGACCUGCAAAUGCUGGACUCACAGAAGGCUCUGAGAAGUAAAUAACAGAUGGAGUUUUACUUUUGCUGCCCAGGCUGGAGUACGAUGG